This 380-nucleotide ribosomal RNA is filed under the name uncultured Alnicola. Its description in RNAcentral is "eukaryotic LSU rRNA". It matches the Rfam family "Eukaryotic large subunit ribosomal RNA", at positions 1 to 373 of the family's 3401-position model. The record is from RNAcentral. Lineage: Eukaryota; Fungi; Basidiomycota; Agaricomycetes; Agaricales; Cortinariaceae.
UUGACCUCAAAUCAGGUAGGACUACCCGCUGAACUUAAGCAUAUCAAUAAGCGGAGGAAAAGAAACUAACAAGGAUUCCCCUAGUAACUGCGAGUGAAGCGGGAAAAGCUCAAAUUUAAAAUCUGGCGGUCUCCGGCCGUCCGAGUUGUAAUCUAGAGAAGUGUUAUCCGCGCUGGACCGUGUACAAGUCUCCUGGAAUGGAGCGUCAUAGAGGGUGAGAAUCCCGUCUUUGACACGGACUGCCAGGGCUUUGUGAUGCGCUCUCAAAGAGUCGAGUUGUUUGGGAAUGCAGCUCAAAAUGGGUGGUAAAUUCCAUCUAAAGCUAAAUAUUGGCGAGAGACCGAUAGCGAACAAGUACCGUGAGGGAAAGAUGAAAAGAA